UACAGAGGGUGCGAGCGUUAAUCGGAAUUACUGGGCGUAAAGCGUGCGUAGACGGUUAUGUAAGUCAGAUGUGAAAGCCCCGGGCUCAACCUGGGAAUUGCAUUUGAGACUGCAUAGCUAGGAUGCGGAAGAGGGCAGUGGAAUUUCCGGUGUAGCGGUGAAAUGCGUAGAUAUCGGAAGGAACAUCAGUGGCGAAAGCGACUGCCUGGUCCAGCAUCGACGUUCAGGCACGAAAGCGUGGGGAGCAAACAGG
This 253-nucleotide ribosomal RNA is filed under the name uncultured bacterium. RNAcentral's name for it is "partial 16S ribosomal RNA". It matches the Rfam family "Bacterial small subunit ribosomal RNA", at positions 524 to 776 of the family's 1533-position model. The record is from RNAcentral.